Molecule: transfer RNA, 69 nt
Filed under: Cavia porcellus (domestic guinea pig)
Lineage: Eukaryota; Metazoa; Chordata; Mammalia; Rodentia; Caviidae
Rfam family: tRNA
About the family: Transfer RNA (tRNA) molecules are approximately 80 nucleotides in length.
Source: Rfam by way of RNAcentral
GGGGAUAUAGCUCAGCAGCACAGCACCUGCCUGGAAAGCAUGAGGUCGUGAGUUCAAUUCCUAGUACCA